RNAcentral lists this ribosomal RNA (497 nucleotides) under uncultured bacterium. Its description in RNAcentral is "partial 16S ribosomal RNA". It matches the Rfam family "Bacterial small subunit ribosomal RNA", at positions 28 to 507 of the family's 1533-position model. The record is from RNAcentral.
GAUGAACGCUGGCGGCGUGCCUAAUACAUGCAAGUCGAGCGAACAGACGAGGAGCUUGCUCCUCUGACGUUAGCGGCGGACGGGUGAGUAACACGUGGAUAACCUACCUAUAAGACUGGGAUAACUUCGGGAAGCCGGAGCUAAUACCGGAUAAUAUAUUGAACCGCAUGGUUCAAUAGUGAAAGACGGUUUUGCUGUCACUUAUAGAUGGAUCCGCGCCGCAUUAGCUAGUUGGUAAGGUAACGGCUUACCAAGGCAACGAUGCGUAGCCGACCUGAGAGGGUGAGCGGCCACACUGGAACUGAGACACGGUCCAGACUCCUACGGGAGGCAGCAGUAGGGAAUCUUCCGCAAUGGGCGAAAGCCUGACGGAGCAACGCCGCGUGAGUGAUGAAGGGCUUCGGAUCGUAAAACUCUGUUAUUAGGGAAGAACAAAUGUGUAAGUAACUAUGCACGUCUUGACGGUACCUAAUCAGAAAGCCACGGCUAACUACGUG